RNAcentral lists this ribosomal RNA (264 nucleotides) under uncultured bacterium. Its description in RNAcentral is "partial 16S ribosomal RNA". It matches the Rfam family "Bacterial small subunit ribosomal RNA", at positions 67 to 334 of the family's 1533-position model. The record is from RNAcentral.
CGGCACCUAUCUUCGGAUAGAAGCGAGUGGCGAACGGCUGAGUAACACGUGGAGAACCUGUCCCCUCCCCCGGGAUAGCCGCCCGAAAGGACGGGUAAUACCGGAUACCCCGGGGUGCCGCAUGGCACCCCGGCUAAAGCCCCGACGGGAGGGGAUGGCUCCGCGGCCCAUCAGGUAGACGGCGGGGUGACGGCCCACCGUGCCGACAACGGGUAGCCGGGUUGAGAGACCGACCGGCCAGAUUGGGACUGAGACACGGCCCAG